UUGAACGCUGGCGGCAUGCCUUACACAUGCAAGUCGAACGGCAGCACGGGAGCAAUCCUGGUGGCGAGUGGCGAACGGGUGAGUAAUGUAUCGGAACGUACCUUUCAGUGGGGGAUAACGUAGCGAAAGUUACGCUAAUACCGCAUAUUCUGUGAGCAGGAAAGCAGGGGAUCGCAAGACCUUGCGCUGAUUGAGCGGCCGAUAUCAGAUUAGCUAGUUGGUGGGGUAAAAGCCUACCAAGGCGACGAUCUGUAGCUGGUCUGAGAGGACGACCAGCCACACUGGGACUGAGACACGGCCCAGACUCCUACGGGAGGCAGCAGUGGGGAAUUUUGGACAAUGGGCGCAAGCCUGAUCCAGCCAUGCCGCGUGCGGGAAGAAGGCCUUCGGGUUGUAAACCGCUUUUGUCAGGGAAGAAACGGUCUGGGCUAAUACCCUGGGCUAAUGACGGUACCUGAAGAAUAAGCACCGGCUAACUACGU
Molecule: ribosomal RNA, 482 nt
Filed under: uncultured bacterium
Lineage: Bacteria
Description: bacterial SSU rRNA
Rfam family: Bacterial small subunit ribosomal RNA
Source: RNAcentral